RNAcentral lists this ribosomal RNA (434 nucleotides) under uncultured Lachnospiraceae bacterium. RNAcentral's name for it is "partial 16S ribosomal RNA". It matches the Rfam family "Bacterial small subunit ribosomal RNA", at positions 341 to 792 of the family's 1533-position model. Lineage: Bacteria; Bacillati; Bacillota; Clostridia; Lachnospirales; Lachnospiraceae. The record is from RNAcentral.
ACGGGAGGCAGCAGUGGGGGAUAUUGCACAAUGGGGGAAACCCUGAUGCAGCGACGCCGCGUGAGUGAAGAAGUAUUUCGGUACGUAAAGCUCUAUCAGCAGGGAAGAUAAUGACGGUACCUGACUAAGAAGCCCCGGCUAACUACGUGCCAGCAGCCGCGGUAAUACGUAGGGGGCAAGCGUUAUUCGGAUUUACUGGGUGUAAAGGGAGUGUAGGUGGCCUGGCAAGCCAGAUGUGAAAGCCCGCGGCUCAACCGCGGGACUGCAUUUGGAACUGUUAGGCUUGAGUGCAGGAGAGGAAAGUGGAAUUCCUAGUGUAGCGGUGAAAUGCGUAGAGAUUGGGAGGAACACCAGUGGCGAAGGCGACUAACUGGACUGUAACUGACGCUGAGGCGCGAAAGUGUGGGGAGCAAACAGGAUUAGAUACCCUGGUA